AGUGAACGCUGGCGGUAGGCCUAACACAUGCAAGUCGAACGGCAGCACAGUAAGAGCUUGCUCUUACGGGUGGCGAGUGGCGGACGGGUGAGGAAUACAUCGGAAUCUACUUUUUCGUGGGGGAUAACGUAGGGAAACUUACGCUAAUACCGCAUACGACCUACGGGUGAAAGCAGGGGAUCUUCUGACCUUGCGCGAUUGAAUGAGCCGAUGUCGGAGUAGCUAGUUGGCGGGUUAAAGGCCCACCAAGGGGACGAUCCGUAGCUGGUCUGAGUGGAUGGUCAGACACACUGGAACGGAGACAGGGUCCAGGCUCCUACGGGAGGCAGCAGUGGGGAAUAUUGGGCAAUGGGGGCAAGCCUUAUCCAGCCAUACCGCGUGGGUGAAGAAGGCCUUCGGGUUGUAAAGCCCUUUUGUUGGGAGAGAAAAGCAGCAGGUUAAUACGCCGCUGUUCUGACGGUACCCAAAGAAUAAGCACCGGCUAACUUCGUG
This 492-nucleotide ribosomal RNA is filed under the name uncultured bacterium. RNAcentral's name for it is "partial 16S ribosomal RNA". It matches the Rfam family "Bacterial small subunit ribosomal RNA", at positions 29 to 507 of the family's 1533-position model. The record is from RNAcentral.